Brachypodium distachyon (stiff brome) is the source of this 2844-nucleotide RNA transcript. RefSeq lists it as uncharacterized. The transcript is spliced from 3 exons. The record is from RefSeq and is a predicted model, not a curated record. Lineage: Eukaryota; Viridiplantae; Streptophyta; Magnoliopsida; Poales; Poaceae.
UCUCUUCACCUAUCCCCUGUCAGCCUGCCUUCCUCGACCUGCUCGCCAAUCCAAGUGUUGCGAGGUUAGGAAAUUGCGUCUGCUGGUACUAUUCUGGAUGUGAAUUUCCCUUUGUUUGCAAUCGCGUGUGUGUACCUACCUGUGAAUCGAUGAGAAGGGUGCGUCAGAACCGAUCGAAUUUGACUUUGGUGCCGAUGUCUGACAGUCUGAGAAGAGAUCGAACAAGGGAUCGGUUCGUUGUUGAGGAGUCUGAUAUGAACACAUUCGCAGCCCAUCGUCCAAAAUUAAUCUAAAUAAUGGUACAGUAGUAUCAUUGGUUCCCUUUUUAUAUGAAGGCAUGAAACCGUUCCUGCUUUUCGGGUUCGGGAAACACUUUGUUCUCUAGUUGGCAGUACUUUGAUUAGGCAUAUUAGUUGGCAACAAGAGUUUGCAUCUGUCCAUAUGAUUUGAUUGCUGAAGUAUAUGACGCUUUUUGACAUGGCAACAAGAGUCUGUAUCUGUCCAUAUGCAGCAUUUGGCACCAGUGGUUUGUACAUCGUGAUAUUUGUACUUCAAGCAGAGUUCUUCGCAAAAAAAAAACUUCAAGCAGAGUUACAGACCCAUAAAAACUACUCAUGGUCAGAAUUAUUCUCAAUGGUAAGUUAAUUGAAAGUGUACAUUCAGGAUCAGAUAUGUCGAACAAGGCUAGCAUGCAUAUAUAUGAUUUAGCAUUUAACAUUUGAGCACAGAGUUAAGAAGUUUGGUUUUCCUCUUCAGUUGAUCACAACCUUGCCGUUGUGUACCGCAUAAACAACUCUCAUCUUUCCCCAUAGCAUGAUAUUUAGAGUUUAGCAAGCUAGGUAAACUAUGACUGGGUAUUUUAUUCGCCUAGAUUUUCUUCAUUUUUAACUGACGAUCAUAUGACAAUCUUCUGUCAGGUGGUUUGGUCGAACAGGCGACGCUUUUACUGGCAAGGUCCCAGGAAAACUUAUUCAGGAUGGCAAAUAAAUGUAUUUACAGCAGGCCUUGGUUUUAAGGUUUUUUUUUACGAAAGACUGAUAGGGAUAUGCUAGUUUUACUAAAUUUGGUAAAACCAAAACACUGCGAAAAGGAAAAGGAGUCACACUUAAGAAGAACAACUAGGAAGUUUUCACACAUAUUAAUGCAUUACUCAAGCUACUGGCCCCUAGCACACACUAUGCUAUGAUAUGUUUGGUUAGUAUAUUAAGGUUUCCAAUGCUCGCCACACAUUUUUCCAUUCAUGUCUGAGGUCAGGCAAUCAAAAUGAAAUCCACAUUUUGACACACUUGAGGAAAGCUUGCCACGCCUUUUGAGUCACUGACAUAUGGGACCCACAUUGCAUGAAAAGAAUCUUCCCACAAGUAUGACACGAACCAAACAUGUGACUUGACUAAUUUUUUUUGGAAGAAAGACUAACUCAUUCAAAGUUGGCGAUGUCAUGGUAAAGUAUGGCACUGUUUGUAUACUAACCAAACAUCUCUAGCUUACUCAUUCAAGAAAAUAUUUCUAGCUUACUGUAUAUAUACAAGAAAAAUGUGUACGCAUAACGGUGGCUAUCAUUUUUGUCUAAGUUUGUGGGGCUGAUCAAACCAUCCGCCAGGGCUCUUUCCCAUGUAAGAUGUGCACGAAGUUUGCCAGGGACAACCUGGUUGGUUCCUUAUGAACUCCCUAAAAACAUUUGCGAUUUCUCUUCCCUCAGACAGUAUAGCAGUUCAGUCUGUCAGGAACUGGCAAAUCAACAACAGAAACUGCCAAAAGAGUGAAAGAGCUGAGAUUUGUUUUAAUCAAAACACUGAUCUGCCUAUUGCUCUAUCUGAGUCUUACUCAGGAUUUAUUUUUUCAAUCUUUCAUUUGGCCGUAUCUGGUAUAUUUAGUGUCUUCCCUGGAAAAAGCUGUAUUUGUACUGGAAGCCAAUUAAUGUUCUCGAUUUGUUGGACGUAGGUCUAGGCAGGAUGAUAAUAGGUUUCUAGAUUUUCCUUGAAGGCUUGAAGCAAAAUGGGGACCUUGUUGCAUCGAUCACAGUGUAACAGAAUUGGAGAAAGACAUGGUAAAUCUGGAGCUGUUCUUGAGCUGCCACACUAACUUGCACAUGUACAAUACUUUUGAAGGACAUGAACAUUUACAGUACAUCUCAAUACGAACACUUGAUAUGUCGAUGGAGCACUGCACGUCCCAAGGUUCCUUGGUCAAAUCUUUCUGCUGAUAAUGAAGACACUGGUGCGCAAUUUCCUCACUAUGCUGCCUUCUUUCCUGGCAGAAAGAAAACGGCUCGAUAAUCGACAUUGGGCAGUGCAGAAAUACCAUCAUUCAGGGGACUGUAACACCCAACUGUAUGGUUCAGAGUUCAGACCCGGGGAAGAAGGGGGGGGGGGCGGCGGCAAGAUCGACAUGGUCGUUCGAUAGGGCCCGCGGGCCCGCGGAUACAGACCCGGCCUGGCCCAGCACACGUGUGCGCGAGCUUUGUCGAUCCCCAUGGCCAGCAGGGGCCGGCCCGGGGGUUACAUCGCGCAUUCACGCAGCAGCUUUGCUGGUGCGUGCAUGCAGCUGUUGCGUCGAUUGACCCGGGCUGUUCGUGGAGUCGCAACACACUGGCCUGCAGCAGCUGAUUGAUACAGCCGGGUGCCGUGCGUGCGCGCGCGCAGCGGGACACCCGCACAUGCCGGCCGUUCGGCGUCGCACUGUUCACCGGGGAGCUAGCUGAGAUGCAGAAUCAGAAUCCCCUCAACAAACAGUCCACAGUUUAUAUGCUACAGUAUGGGCGAGUACAUCUACUACAUCACGGCUUAUAAAUUGGUUGGCUUUUGCUGAAUGGUAGUACUAAACCAAAUCCUAAUUAAGCAUGCA